Salvia miltiorrhiza (redroot sage) is the source of this 1462-nucleotide long non-coding RNA. RefSeq lists it as uncharacterized. The record is from RefSeq and is a predicted model, not a curated record. The transcript has 2 exons. Lineage: Eukaryota; Viridiplantae; Streptophyta; Magnoliopsida; Lamiales; Lamiaceae.
AAAACAUAAGCCCAAUAAUCAAUUAAGUGAAAGAGGCCCACUAAAAAGUUAGGCCCAACUGAAUUAAAUUAGGAAAGGCCCAAUUGUAGAAUAAAAUAAAUUAGGCCCAACUGGAACAAUAUUACUGGACUCAAAUAAUUAAAUAGAUCUAGGCUCAAAUAAAAAAAAAUAGCAGUCCAACUGAGAUAAAUAAUUCUGGGCUCAAUAAAAUUAUGUUGUUGGGUUCAAAUAAUUAAAAUAGGAAGCCCAAAUAAAGCAAGGUCCAUUUCUUCUCAAUUAUUCGGCCCAAUUGAAUAUAAAAAUAAAGGCCCAAAACAAUUUAAACAAAGCCCAAGCUUAAAAUUCGGCCCAAAAGAAAUUAGUGGCCCAAAACAUAGCCCAACUUAAAAAAAAAACAAAAGCCCAAACCUCUAUCUCUUUACUCAACUCUCGGUCUUCUUUUUUUUUUUUCUCACCCACACAAUUUCAUAACUCUCUCUCUCUCAAAGAAAUACACACACACAGACGCACGCUUCGGUUCUCUCUCUCUCUCGAUCCCUCUCCAGCCGAGGCGGGCGCCGCCGCCGCUGCCGGCGCGGCCGUGCCUGGCAGAGGGUGGCACACCUUGCCGUCUCACUCUCCUCUCUCUCUCAAGGAGUUGCUCGCCCCUUCCUCUCCAGCCUGCUCGCUCGGCUCCAUCCUCCGCACAGGUCGGCUCCUCCUACCCCGGCAGUGCAGCGGCAGUCGGCUCCGGUUGGCUUCGAUUUUCGACACUUCAAAUCAGCGUCGUUCUCUCUCCUCAGCGCAGAGCCCCCAAAAUCGUGCCCUAGAGUCAACUACCAGGUUGCUGCCGCCGUUGUCUGGAGCCAUCGCCGCCGUCUGGAGUUGCUGCUGCUCGUCCGAUGGUCAGCGCCGACUGCUGCUGCUUCGCCGGGAGUCGCCGCCGACUGGAGUUGCUGCUCUCGACCUUGCUCUCUGUUUCUCUACUCCCAAGUCAUCUCCCCCUUUCAAUCUAUGGAGCGGAGGAAAAUCCUUACUCCUAAUUCAGAAAUCGCCUCAGCUCGACGCCGCUCUACUAUGAAAUUCCGGCGAGCAGGAGAGUGUCCGACGCCCUCAUCGAUUCUCCGAUGAGUAGUAAAUCAGGGUAGGGCGGUGUCCGCUGCUCCCCUCUUUCACUCGUGUACACGAACGAGGGAAAGGCCGAGUUCUCGGUCCUCUUAGCUCAGGCGAGAGAGUCACCGCCGUCCACCUCUCGUUCGACGGAAUAGUCAAGUCGGCUCCUUCUCGGUACAUUGAAACAGGUGAGUAAGGAAUGAAUGGAGGUGAAUGGAGGAAGGUUGCUGCUGAAUUGUUUGCUUGAAGAAGUGUUGGCUAGUAGCUUUCAAGAAUCGAAGGUGGUGGGGAGAAUGUAGUGGAGGAAAGCAAAAGGUGGUGGGCAAAGGAUUGUAGUGCACACUUUUCCUUAUCUUAUCUUGCUUUGCAA